Long non-coding RNA from Carassius gibelio (silver crucian carp), 1446 nucleotides. RefSeq lists it as uncharacterized. The transcript is spliced from 6 exons. Lineage: Eukaryota; Metazoa; Chordata; Actinopteri; Cypriniformes; Cyprinidae. The record is from RefSeq and is a predicted model, not a curated record.
ACCUGAGUCCAGCUUGAAGCGGAUCACACACGGAAUCCCCUGAGCCAGCUUUUGCUGCACCUGCUCCGGCGGCACCUCUCGACAGCGGUUAUCAUAACUGCAGAGACGGAGGAGACAGGUGUGAAAGAGGAGAAACGGAGGAGACAGGUGUGAAAGAGGAGAGACGGAGGAGACAGGUGUGAAAGAGGAGAGACGGAGGAGACAGGUGUGAAAGAGGAGAGACGGAGGAGACAGGUGUGAAAGAGGAGAGACGGAGGAGACAGGUGUGAAAGAGGAGGGACAGGUGUGAAAGAGGAGAGAUGGAAGAGAGGUGUGAAAGAGGAGAGAUGGAGGAGACAGGUGUGAAAGAGGAGAGAUGGAGGAGACGGGUGUGUGAUGGAGGAUAGAUGGAGGAGACGGGUGUGUGAUGGAGGAGAGAUGGAGGAGACGGGUGUGUGAUGGAGGAGAGACGGAGGAGACAGGUGUGUGAUGGAGGAGAGACGGAUGGAAGAGACAGAGGAGACAGGUGUGAAAGAGGAGAGACAGAGGAGACAGGUGUGAAAGAGGAGAGACGGAGGAGACAGGUGUGUGAUGGAGGAGAGACGGAUGGAAGAGACAGAGGAGACAGGUGUAAAAGAGGAGAGACAGAGGAGACAGGUGUGAAAGAGAAGAGAUGGAGGAGACGAGUGUGUGAUGGAGGAGAGACGGAUGGAAGAGACAGAGGAGAAAGGGGUGUGAAAGAGGAGAGACAGAGGAGACAGGUGUGAAAGAGGAGAGACAGAGGAGACAGGUGUGAAAGAGGAGAGAUGGAGGAGACGGGUGUGUGAUGGAGGAGAGAUGGAGGAGACGGGUGUGUGAUGGAGGAGAGACGGAUGGAAGAGACAGAGGAGACAGGUGUAAAAGAGGAGAGACAGAGGAGACAGGUGUGAAAGAGAAGAGAUGGAGGAGACGGGUGUGUGAUGGAGGAGAGACGGAUGGAAGAGACAGAGGAGAAAGGGGUGUGAAAGAGGAGAGACAGAGGAGACAGGUGUGAAAGACGAGAGAUGGAGGAAACGGGUGUGUGAUGGAGGAGACAGGUGUGAAAGAGGAGAGGUGGAUGGAUGAGACAGAGGAGACAGGUGUGAAAGAGGAGAGACAGAGGAGACAGGUGUGAAAGAGAAGAGAUGGAGGAGAAGGGUGUGUGAUGGAGGAGAGACGGAUGGAAGAGACAGAGGAGACAGGUGUGAAAGAGGAGAGACAGAGGAGACAGGUGUGAAAGAGGAGAGACGGAGGAGACAGGUGUGUGAUGGAGGAGAGAUGGAUGGAAGAGACAGAGGAGACAGGUGUGAAAGAGGAGAGACAGAGGAGACAGGUGUGAAAGAGGAGAGACGGAGGAGACAGGUGUGAAAGAGGAGAGACCGAGGAGACAGGUGUGUGAUGGAGGAGAGACAGAUGGAAGAGACAGAGGAGACAGGUGUGAAAGAGGAG